AGGGGAGCCGGAGGGAAACCGAGUCUUAAUUGGGCGUUAAGUUGCAGGGUAUAGACCCGAAACCCGGUGAUCUAGCCAUGGGCAGGUUGAAGGUUGGGUAACACUAACUGGAGGACCGAACCGACUAAUGUUGAAAAAUUAGCGGAUGACCUGUGGCUGGGGGUGAAAGGCCAAUCAAACCGGGAGAUAGCUGGUUCUCCCCGAAAGCUAUUUAGGUAGCGCCUCGUGAAUUCAUCUCCGGGGGUAGAGCACUGUUUCGGCUAGGGGGCCAUCCCGGCUUACCAACCCGAUGCAAACUGCGAAUACCGGAGAAUGUUAUCACGGGAGACACACGGCGGGUGCUAACGUCCGUCGUGAAGAGGGAAACAACCCAGACCGCCAGCUAAGGUCCCAAAGUCAUGGUUAAGUGGGAAACGAUGUGGGAAGGCCCAGACAGCCAGGAUGUUGGCUUAGAAGCAGCCAUCAUUUAAAGAAAGCGUAAUAGCUCACUGGUCGAGUCGGCCUGCGCGGAAGAUGUAACGGGGCUAAACCAUGCACCGAAGCUGCGGCAGCGACGCUUAUGCGUUGUUGGGUAGGGGAGCGUUCUGUAAGCCUGUGAAGGUGGCCUGUGAGGGUUGCUGGAGGUAUCAGAAGUGCGAAUGCUGACAUAAGUAACGAUAAAGCGGGUGAAAAGCCCGCUCGCCGGAAGACCAAGGGUUCCUGUCCAACGUU
RNAcentral lists this ribosomal RNA (711 nucleotides) under Salmonella enterica. Its description in RNAcentral is "partial 23S ribosomal RNA". It matches the Rfam family "Bacterial large subunit ribosomal RNA", at positions 659 to 1366 of the family's 2925-position model. Lineage: Bacteria; Pseudomonadati; Pseudomonadota; Gammaproteobacteria; Enterobacterales; Enterobacteriaceae. The record is from RNAcentral.